Molecule: ribosomal RNA, 249 nt
Filed under: uncultured bacterium
Lineage: Bacteria
Description: partial 16S ribosomal RNA
Rfam family: Bacterial small subunit ribosomal RNA
Source: RNAcentral
ACACGUAGGGGGCGAGCGUUGUUCGGAAUUACUGGGCGUAAAGGGCAUGUAGGCGGUCUUGUAAGCUUGGCGUGAAAGACCACGGCUCAACCGUGGGAUUGCGUUGAGAACUGCGAGGCUUGAGUGACGGAGAGGGAGCUAGAAUUCCUGGUGGUAGGGGUGGAAUCUGUAGAGAUCAGGAAGAAUACCAAUGGCGAAGGCAAGCUCCUGGCCGAUGACUGACGCUGAGGUGACGAAAGUGUGGGGAUC